Non-coding RNA from Sus scrofa (pig), 5558 nucleotides. The record is from RefSeq and is a predicted model, not a curated record. Lineage: Eukaryota; Metazoa; Chordata; Mammalia; Artiodactyla; Suidae.
AACAGCCCAGGGGGCGGGCGUUUGAAAUCGGUGCUUUGAGUAGACCCUAAACAUCAUUUUAUACCUUCGAGAACCAAUUACUUAAUGUCUCUCCCGUCUUUUCCUUUCCCGACCCCCUCCCAGACGCCUUCAUUCCGGUACUGCGUGGACGGAAAGCCCCGGGUAGCCGACACCACGUCCCCGGCUACCGAGAGAGAAGGAGAGAGAGCGUAGAAAAGGAUUAUACCAAACGGUUUAAAUCCAACGGCUCCUGCUUGCUUAAUCUUUGAGCUAGACCCAGCAAGCCUAGAGAGUUGGGCUACGGAAAGACUAGUAUUUUCUUUUAAUUGGAUAUGAAGAAAGAACAAAUAUGUACGGGGGCAACCACGAUCUUUAUAAAGAACGUAAGUUCCAGGAAAGCAGGAGCCUUGUCUCUCUUGUUCACUGGUGUAUCCGCUGCAUAUAGAACAGUGCCUGGCACAUAAUAGGUGCUGAUACUUGAAGAAGGAAGAAGACCCUUCAAGAUGUCUGUUCAACAUUGCAUUGGAGAUUCUAGUCAGGGCAGUUAGGCAGAAAAAGAAAAGGUAUCCAAACUGGAAAGGAAAAAAUAAAACUAUCUUUAUCAACACAGCAUGAUUUUACAUAGAGAACAAAUUCAAAAAGAUCACUGGAUGUACAAGAUCAGUAUACAAAAAUCAGUUGAUUUCUAUACAUUAGCAAUGAAGACUCUGAAAAUGAAAUUAACAAAAGAAAGUAAUAUAGUCAAAGGCUACACACACAAAAAAAAAAUUAAGAAAACAUUCUACUCAUAGUGUCAUUAAAAAGAAUUAUGUGCUUAAGAAUAAAUUUAACAAAAGAAGUGAAAGACUUCCACAUUGGAAACUACAAACAUCAUUAAAGAAGAGCUAAGUAAAUGGACAGACAUUCAAUAUUCCUGCAUCAGAAGACAACAUUUUUCAGAUGGCAGUACUUCCAAUUCAUCUAAGGAUUCUUUGCAGUCCCUAUUAUAAUUCCUGCUGGCUCCCCACCUGCCAGAAAUUAAAAAUUGAUCCUAAAAUUGGUAAACAGUCUUGAAAAAAAGAACAAAAAAAUCGAAAGACUCACACUUCCCCAUUUCAAAACUUAACUGCACACCUGCAAUAAUCAAGAUAUUGCUCUACACAGGGCUAUAUAGUUUAAUGAAUAGCUAUAUACUCAAAUGGAAUAGAAGCAAUAUAAAUUUCAACAUUUCAAUUGUGAAGGAAUACUCUUUUCAAUGAAUGUUGCUGGAAUAAUGAAUAUCCACAAACAAAAAUCUGAAUCUGGAUCCUUCCCUCACCCUAUACACAAAACCAAGUCAAAAUUGAUCACAGAUCUAAUGUAAACUAAAACUAUAAAACUCUUAGAAGAAAACAUAGGAAUAUAUCUCCAUGAUUUGAGCUAGGCAAUAAUUUCUUAGAUGACACCAAAAGUACAAGCAAUAAAAGUGAUAACUUGGAUUCAUCAAAAUCCAAAACUUGUGUGCUUCAAAAGAUAUAAUUAUGAAAGUGAAAAGAUAACCCACAGACUAGGAGAAAAUAUUUGCAAAUCAUAUAUUCAAAAGGGGACUUGUCAUCAGGGCAUAUAAAAAUCUCCUGCAAUUCAGUUAUAAGAUGAAUAACAAAAAUGAGUAAGGAAUUUGAAUAGAAAUUUCUUUGAAAAAGAGAUAUGAAUGGCCAAUAAGCAUAGUAAAAAAUACUCAGCAUCAUUUGUCAUUAAGGAAGUGCAAAUCAAAAAAAAUGAGAUAUGAAUUCACAUUGACUAGAAGUGCUAGAAAAAAAGACAGUAAUAGGUGUUGGUGAGGAUGCUGAGAACUUGGAACCCUCAUCUAUGGCUGAUGGAAAUUUAAAAUGUUGCAGGCACUUUGGAAAAACAGUGUUAACAGUCUCCCAGAAUGUUAAACAGAGUUACUAUGUGACCUAGUAAUUCCACUCUAGGUAUUUAUUCAAGAAAAAUAAAAACAUAUGUCCACUCAUAGACUUGUACGUGAAUGUCCAUAACAGCAGUAUUCAUAAAAGCUAAAAGGUUAAAACAACGCAAAUGUUAUCUACUGAUGAAUGGAUAAAAUGUGGUGUAUUCAUAACAAUGGAAUAUUAUUCAACCAUAAAAGGAAACAAAAUACUGAUACAUAUUAGAACAUGAAUGAACCUCAAAAAACAUGCUGUGAAACAUGUCAAACACAAAAGACCACAUAUUAUAUGACAGAAUUUAUAUGAAAUAUCCAGAAUAGGCAAACCUGUAAAGACAGAUUAGUGGUUGCCAGGUGCUGAAGGUGGAAAUGGGCUGUGACUGCAAAUGGGCAUGAGAUUUCUUUUUUGAGUUGUGGAAAUGUUGUAAAAUUAGAUUGUGAUUGUGGUUGAACAGAUCUGUAAAUAUACCAAAAUAUAUCAUUCAACUGUGCACUUGAAAUGGGUAAAAUUUUUGUUUUGGAAAUUAUGUCUCAAUAAAGAUAUUUAAAAAACCCACAAAUAUGACAAAAUGUUAAGAGGUCAGUUCUGGCUGGUUGGAAUGCAGAGUUUUGUUAUGCGUUCUAUUUUUUCUAUUUUUAAUGUUUCUGAAAAACAAAAAAUCAAGACACUAUAAAUUCCUGGGCCCUGGUUCCAAAUGAGAUAGAUGCAUAAAUUCAUAGUCUUUUCAUUAUACUCUUACUUUUAGACACUGUCCAUUGCCUCCAUUCGCAAAAGAAAUGACAUAGAAUAUUCUCAGCAAAGCCUACCAGUUAUACACAGCAAACCCAAUAUUUAGUGGCUAACUCUGAAUCAUAAGCCAGGAAUAAGUAGAUGUAUGAGGAAAGCAUUUAAUAUAAACACAGAAACCAGAAUUUCUAGGAAGGGUAAAUCAAGAGGAAAGAGACACGAUGUAGGGAGCAAAUGAAACUUAAAAAAAAAAAAAAAUCUCUAUUAAUUCUUCAAGGGGAAGAAGAGAAAAUUUCCAGCCAUGAAAAAUAUCAGAAAUCUAUAAUCAAAGGAAUAUUCAGAGAACAAAAUUUAUGAAAAUUAGAAAAUAAUUGCUAUAAGGUUUGGAAAAUGAGAGAACAAAGAUAAGAAAAUUAGACAAUCACCCAAGAAGUUUAAUAUCUAACUAAUUGUGUUUCCAGAGAUAGAGAACUGAAAAUAUAGUGGGAAGGAAUAUAUUUUUAAAACGGAAUAGGAAAAUUUCUCAUCAACAAAGAACAUGAAUUUAUAUUAGGAGAUCUAGCACAAUCGUUGAUUAAAAAGACUUGCCAGUCAUAUCUUAAUGAAAUCUCAGAAAACGAGGAGAAAAGGAAUAAUCCUAAAAGCGUCCAGGGAGUGGAAAUAGGUUGCCCCCAAAGCACCAGAAAACAGAUUGGAUUUGGAUUUCUAGAAGCCAAAAUUCAAUGGAACAAUGUCUUCAGAAUCCUGAAGGAAAGCAUAAAGGUAGGAUAAAGACAUUUUCAGGCAGCAAAUUAUGGUAGACAGUUAUAUUUGUGACCAAUAACUUUAGAAUUCCUUUUUUAUAUUUGAGGAAAUUCCCACAUUAUGACCCCUGCCUUGCCAAGGUUGAAGCCUUAACUCAGUUAUCCAUCAUCUAUUGCAGCAAAGACAUAGGCAUAUGACCCCAGCUCUUCCAAUCAGACAUUUCCAUGGAUGAGCUCGAUUUGAAGAAACGUAUGGAAGUCGAUUUCGCCCAGGAUCUGUUCCCGGAGCAGGGUCUCGAGAGACUGAGCUUUCAGAGGUAAUAGUGGCAUAGGUUCUAGUUGGUAAUGUCUCUUGCUCAUGUUCUUUGAUACCUUUGACCAGAGGAGGUAGAGGAAUACCUUAAUAUAAAUGGAUAGAUAAUUUGGGUAUUUUUCCUGGAUGCACAGUCACCAAACCCUAUUCUCUGGUUGUCCUGGAGAUUCUGUAAGCUACUUCAUAAUCUCUAGUGAAGCUUCCAAGGAUGCUCCUCGUGGAUAUGCUCCACCAACACAAGGGAGUAACCAGGAAAGACGACUGAGACGGGGGAGCGGGUAGUUUAGGGAAUCUAACAUAAUAGAGAAGGAAAAGAAUGCCCAGGAUCACAGCGACUAGAAACCCCAGGAGGUAGGCUGUGCACCAGCCUAAAGACUAACCAGUCUAGAUUCAGUCAAGCAUAGGAAGGGCUCCAGCAAGAAUAUUCCUGAAAAGAGAAAUUGGAUUUAGUGCCUGAUGUAUUUUAUGAAUUUAGAAGAGAUUUACCCUACUGGAAAUGAAUUUGGGAAUGAAUUAGUAUAUGUAUAUAUAUAUACUAGUAUAUACAAGCAAAUGGAAUAAGGUUAUUACUAACAUAUACAAGCAAAUGGAAUAAGAUUAUUACUAACCAGAGGGUAAGUAAAAUUUUGUACGUGAAAGGCAGUGCAAUCAUGGUACACCACAUGACUCCUUUGUAUCUAUUGUUAGGUGGUAAAAUUCAGACUCGAUUUCACCGAAACUUUGAUAUAACUACAUGAGGGGAUGGGGUGGGGGAAGUCUAUGUGUGCUGGGGCAGAGCAUACAGAGCAGAACUAGAUCCAUAAUUUUAGAGUAUGUGUCCACAAUUUCUAAAACCGGAAAGUCUGCAAAUACUGGAAAAAUAAAACACAGGAAGAAGUUAAAACAUGGAAGAGCGAUUGUCUUUGAGGAGCAGAAGUGAGGGAGAUGAAGUAUAUGUGUCAGGGUUCUUUAUUUACAUACUACAGAAUUCACUCUAAAGCAAAGCUUUGUUUUGUUUUUAGUUUGUUCUUAAGUAUUAAGCACUUUAUGGGAUCUCUGAGAGCAUUCCAAGAACCAGUAUUAUAUGGUACUCAAGAAACAUAUUUAACAUUUAUUGACAAUUCAAAAUUUAUUGACAUCAGUCAAGGAGAAAUGAGGAAUGGAAUUGCAUUUUAUUAAGGCAAAAGAAAGAUAGUCUGACUUUAGUUUGUUGCUCUGGAUGGAAAAAUAAGGGACAGAUUACUAUAGAUACAGAAAGUGAUGCAAGGUUGUGUGAGAAGCGGACACUGAGGAAAAAAUUUUGUACAUUUGUGGGGACUAAGUUUAGAAUAAAUUUAAUUAAGUUAAAAAAUUUAUUGGCAAUACAAUUCAUGUAUGUUAGAAUUGCCUUAAAAUUUGAGUGACAAUUAUUUUAUGUCACAAUGGAAUCAUAAGGUGACACUUAAGUUGCUGUUUUAAAGGCCAAACCCUCAUCUUUGUCAUGAUUUAAUCUGUGCUGUGCAACUGUGUUGAGAUUUAACAUGUCUUUCUUCUCUAUAUCUAAACUUUUAGAUGUUCCCAAGGAGGGACUCCAUGCCAAAUAUUGGCAUUUAAGAUAAAAAGCAUCCAGGAAUAGGUAACUUUUAAUCUUUUCUUUUCCAUGCAGCUUCUCAAGAAGGGAAUUUUGAAGCUUGUGGCGCAGAAACAUGCAGGUAUCUUAGAGAAAGAAGCAAGCAUAUUUCAUAGAAGGGAUUUAGUACAUUUGACAAGUGCUCUUUAGAGGUGAAAGCCAGCCAUCAAGCAAAACAUUUUGGAGAGCUCCCACAUCAACAGUUUGUUUUAAGUACCAAAUAAAUGGCCCAGGCAAACAGAGAACAAAAUCCUCAUGAAGGCCUAGGGUUGGUAAGGAAC